RNAcentral lists this ribosomal RNA (279 nucleotides) under uncultured bacterium. Its description in RNAcentral is "partial 16S ribosomal RNA". It matches the Rfam family "Bacterial small subunit ribosomal RNA", at positions 524 to 802 of the family's 1533-position model. The record is from RNAcentral.
UACGGAGGGUGCAAGCGUUAAUCGGAAUUACUGGGCGUAAAGCGUGCGUAGGCGGUUCGUUAAGUCUGUUGUGAAAGCCCCGGCUCAACCUGGGAAUGGCAAUGGAUACUGGCGAGCUAGAGUGUGUCAGAGGAUGGUGGAAUUCCGGUGUAGCGGUGAAAUGCGUAGAGAUCGGAGGAACAUCAGUGGCGAAGGCGGCCAUCUGGGACACACUGACGCUGAGGCACGAAAGCGUGGGGAGCAAACAGGAUGAGAUACCGUAGUAAGUCCGAUGAGCCA